RNAcentral lists this ribosomal RNA (266 nucleotides) under uncultured bacterium. Its description in RNAcentral is "partial 16S ribosomal RNA". It matches the Rfam family "Bacterial small subunit ribosomal RNA", at positions 335 to 590 of the family's 1533-position model. The record is from RNAcentral.
ACUCCUACGGGAGGCAGCAGUGGGGAAUAUUGCACAAUGGGCGCAAGCCUGAUGCAGCCAUGCCGCGUGUGUGAAGAAGGCCUUCGGGUUGUAAAAGCACUUUCAGUCGUGAGGAAGGUAGUGAGUUAAAUAGCUGCAUUAUUUGACGUUAGCGACAGAAGAAGCACCGGCUAACUCCGUGCCAGCAGCCGCGGUAAUACGGAGGGUGCGAGCGUUAAUCGGAAAUUACUGGGCGUAAAAGCGCAUGCAGGUGGUUUGUUAAAGUC